Molecule: ribosomal RNA, 460 nt
Filed under: uncultured bacterium
Lineage: Bacteria
Description: partial 16S ribosomal RNA
Rfam family: Bacterial small subunit ribosomal RNA
Source: RNAcentral
CCUACGGGUGGCAGCCGUGAGGAAUAUUGGUCAAUGGACGAGAGUCUGAACCAGCCAAGUAGCGUGAAGGAUGACUGCCCUAUGGGUUGUAAACUUCUUUUAUAUGGGAAUAAAACGUUCCACGUGUGGGAUUUUGUAUGUACCAUAUGAAUAAGGAUCGGCUAACUCCGUACCAGCAGCCGCGGUAAUACGGAGGAUCCGAGCGUUAUCCGGAUUUAUUGGGUUUAAAGGGAGCGUAGGUGGAUUGUUAAGUCAGUUGUGAAAGUUUGCGGCUCAACCGUAAAAUUGCAGUUGAAACUGGCAGUCUUGAGUACAGUAGAGGUGGGCGCAAUUCGUGGUGUAGCGGUGAAAUGCUUAGAUAUCACGAAGAACUCCGAUUGCGAAGGCAGUUCACUGGACUGCAACUGACACUGAGGCUCGAAAGUGUGGGUAUCAAACAGGAUUAGAUACCCGAGUAGUC